Non-coding RNA from Aegilops tauschii subsp. strangulata, 1403 nucleotides. NCBI's taxonomy places the organism in Eukaryota, Viridiplantae, Streptophyta, Magnoliopsida, Poales, Poaceae. The record is from RefSeq and is a predicted model, not a curated record.
CAGUUCAUGGCCACCUCUUCCUAAUUCUCUGCUUGAGUCGAAAUUGUUCGUUGCGUUCUCUAGUUCUUCCCUUGUGAAUAUUCUCACUGUAUCAACUUGCUUUGACCUGAUUUGGUCAUAUAAUAGCAGGCCACCAUUUUGUUGGAAGAAUAUCUGCUUUUCUUUCACCAGCUUUCUCUUCUGACAUUCAAUCAGGAGUGCAGAAAUGCAGAUAAGGAGAAGUACUGCACAUGCCGAAAUACCUGCCAAGAAUAAUAUUCUUUCAGUUUUGGUUCUUGAACACGCAGGUUUUUCUCUUUGGAUCUGCACUCUGAGUCGCAGAUUUGCAUGAACAAUCGUAGUCCCCAAUUAUAUUACUGCAAAUUCCAUGGCAAGGAUACUGAUCUGGGAAAUUGCACUCGUUUAUAUCUGCACACAUAAUUCAAGAACAGAGAAAUAGCUUGAGAUGGAUGCAGAGAUAACUUGAGGUGAACCCAAAAGAAGGAAGUGAGUUACCAACCUUGGCAUCCUUCUUCCAGGCAUACGUUGACAUGUUCUUCACGGCUUCAUUGCAGUAUUCAUUUCCAGCAACCCAGUCAAGCAGAGUGAUUGAGCCGGGAAGUGACCCAGGUUCCUUGAUGUGAUCAGGGCGACUUUGAAUCCAUGGCCAGGUCAAGUCAUUAAAGAGAAUCUUUCAAAAGGGACAAGGAGAUAUGCACAUCCUGCUCGAUGAAAGUGAAGGUGAACUCGUUCGUGUCAUGGCAUUGAAUGAGACUGGUAAAGGGGGUAAGCUUGCUCUGUGAAUACCUUGGACUAGUUCUGCUGUCUUGAUCGACUCCGCCGCGAGAACAGAUUUGCACCACAGGUGCUUCGUAUUGAUCUCAACCUCUCAGCGACAUCUCUCAUUAAUGGCCGUUCUUCCCCCCUCAUACUCAAGCAACACUUUGCCAGUUGAGCAAUUUCUUGGAGCAGCUCCGCUUCGAAGUCUAAUAUAUUCUUGUCCAAGAUGAAUUGAAGUCCAUUUUCUUUCAUUGCCAGAAGGAAGGAUGAUGCAAGGUUUCUCUCUUUGGAUCUAUACUGGUAGUCCCAGAGUUGCAUGAGCAACUGUAGUCCCCAAUUGCGUUGCUGCAGAUUCCAAGGCAAGGAUACUGAUCUGGAAAACUGCACUCAUUGAUGUCUGCAAAGGGAUAGAUAAAUAACUGAAGAUCAGUGUACAGAUAACUUAAGGCGAAGUUAAAAGAAGUGAGUUACAGUGAGUUAUCGACCUUGGCAUCCUCCUUCCAGGCGGAAGAUGACAUGUCGUUCCCUGCUUCAUCACAGUUUUCAUGUCCAGCAACCCAGUCAAGCACAGUAGGUACCCCGUUGUUGAACUUCUCUGUGAAUUUAUUAUCUUCGAGAUAGGAAGCCUCGAACCUGAACCAAUC